RNAcentral lists this ribosomal RNA (433 nucleotides) under uncultured bacterium. RNAcentral's name for it is "partial 16S ribosomal RNA". It matches the Rfam family "Bacterial small subunit ribosomal RNA", at positions 29 to 507 of the family's 1533-position model. The record is from RNAcentral.
AACGAACGCUGGCGGCAUGCCUAACACAUGCAAGUCGAACGAGACCUUCGGGUCUAGUGGCGCACGGGUGCGUAACGCGUGGGAACCUGCCCUUAGGUUCGGAAUAACUCCCCGAAAGGGGUGCUAAUACCGGAUAAUGUCUUCGGACCAAAGAUUUAUCGCCUUUGGAUGGGCCCGCGUUGGAUUAGCUAGUUGGUAGGGUAAAAGCCUACCAAGGCGACGAUCCAUAGCUGGUCUGAGAGGAUGAUCAGCCACACUGGGACUGAGACACGGCCCAGACUCCUACGGCAGGCAGCAGUGGGGAAUAUUGGACAAUGGGCGAAAGCCUGAUCCAGCAAUGCCGCGUGAGUGAUGAAGGCCUUAGGGUUGUAAAGCUCUUUUACCCGGGAUGAUAAUGACAGUACCGGGAGAAUAAGCUCCGGCUAACUCCGUG